CUCCUGUUUGGGAUCGAGCGCGCCGGUGGUCUCCUGGAUCCUGCUCAUCUUCUCCCGGAGCGCAAAGACGCGCCGGUUCGUGGCGAGCAGCUCGUGCUCCAGAUCCUGGAAGAGCGAGCAGGCGUGUUUGGCCAGAUCCGACAGCUGGCGCAGGGUCCGGGACAGAGCCACAUUACUGAAGGCGCACAGGUCCUGGAGCAGGAGACCCUCCUCAUCCGCGUCCGCGCGUCUGCACAGCCACUGGGGCUCCACGAUCCGCUUGGCAAAUGGCAUUUUGUCAUGUAGAGUUCAGGUAUAAAAUCCACCUUUGGAGGAAAACGCAAACAGGUUCCAUGUAAAAAGCAAGACCCCCUCCUCCUCCUCCUCCUCCGUCAGUCCAGGGUCUCUCGCGGCUCGUCCUCCAUCCUCCGUUCGGCCGGACACACACACACACACGCGCGCGCUGAACCGCACUGAGGUCCGCCUCUGUCGCUCUGAUCCCGCUUCCACUCACUGGCGUGCUUUUCUGCGCUUUAAACUCCGAAUGCUUUUAAGGAAAGACGGAGCGAAAACCUGGAGUGGAGUGCGGCGACAACUGGAUCCGGAACAACCGCUUUGCAUUCAUGAGACAGACAGAUGUUUUUCAAAGUCAGUUUAUGCCGAUCUGCUGCGGCGCGUGAUGGAC
Cyprinus carpio carpio is the source of this 664-nucleotide long non-coding RNA. The record is from Ensembl. Lineage: Eukaryota; Metazoa; Chordata; Actinopteri; Cypriniformes; Cyprinidae.